This is a long non-coding RNA of Syngnathus acus (greater pipefish), 488 nucleotides long. RefSeq lists it as uncharacterized. Lineage: Eukaryota; Metazoa; Chordata; Actinopteri; Syngnathiformes; Syngnathidae. The transcript is spliced from 3 exons. The record is from RefSeq and is a predicted model, not a curated record.
AGGGUCAUUAUUGCCCAGUUGGGACAUGGUCCAAAUUCCUCUACCCAUGUCCAGCUGGGUCCAUCAAUCCCUUCACUCAGACGGCAAAGGUCCAGGACUGCCUACCAUGUCCACCAGGUUUGUUUUGUGCAUCACCUGGAUUGGCUGUCGCAUCAGGCCAGUGUAAGGCUGGUUAUUAUUGCACCUCUGGGGCUUCGUCGCCCACACCAGCUGAUGAUGGCUUGACAGGUGACCGCUGUCCUGAGGGCCAUUAUUGUCCACAGGGUUCCUCAGCUCCAUUAUCUUGUCCAGCGGGACAUUACAGCAAUCAAACCGGGAACAGUCAAAUAUCUGACUGCUUGCCGUGUCCCUCAGGGUUUCUUUGCACCACCGGAGGGCUCUCUUUACCUUCUCUCCUGUGCUCAGCAGGCUUUUACUGCCCUAGCCUCAAUACAUCAAUACCUUGCCCUUCUGGAAAUAGGUGUCCACCUGGAUCUCACAAACCAGUA